This is a long non-coding RNA of Syzygium oleosum, 866 nucleotides long. RefSeq lists it as uncharacterized. NCBI's taxonomy places the organism in Eukaryota, Viridiplantae, Streptophyta, Magnoliopsida, Myrtales, Myrtaceae. The transcript is spliced from 2 exons. The record is from RefSeq and is a predicted model, not a curated record.
GGCUGCGCUUUCUCUUCUUCAUCUCCUUCGCACGAUUUUCUCUUUAGGGUUUUCUUUCUUCUUUCUUCUUUCUUCAUCCGAUACACGAGCGAGAGGCUUCGAUUCGUGCGAAGAUCUCGCGCGCUCAUCCUCUCACACGAAGUCGCUCGCUCUCACGCUCGGCCGUUUGGUCGCUCAGAUAUGUGAAUUCGUCUGAAGAGCAAGCAAGCGGUCGCUCAAAGACAUCAAUUCGUUUGAAGAGCAAGCAAGCAAAAUCUUGCGCGCGCUCGAGUGAUGAUCAAUUCAGACAUCAAUUCGUUUGAAGAGUGAGCACUCGCUCGCUUAUCCUCUCACAUGGAGACGCUCACUCUCGGACGUACUCGCUCUCAGUCGCUUGAAGGAUGCUCGUUUAAGGUCGAAGCGGACAGUGUGUUUAAGGCAUUGAACAGAAGAACGAUGCUCCAUCCGAGUGUUUGGAGGAAGUGUUAAAUUUAAGUCUUCCCUCCAGUGAUGAAAAAUAAUUCAGCAGCUUCAGUUCCGUAGAUAGGGCCAUUAGAUCAAUUAACAAUUGGCAAGCUGUUCACAAUGUCAGAAGCUAAGUUGGAAGCAGAAGACCACAUUGCCUUCAAGCGAGAUAUUGAAAGAGUGUGCAUCUUGCAGUUGAACAGAGAUGUGAAGCCUAUUUGUGAUAGACUUAAUGCAUUCAUUUGAAAGAGAGGAUGUGUUAGAUUAAACUCAGCUGCUGGAGUUUCCAUCUGAUAAUGUUUAUGUCGGGAAGAACCAGUAUCUCCAGUUGCUAAUGAUGCACCAAAGUGAACAUAAUGGUUGUUAUUGGGUUGCUGAUUGGGAAGAGCUGUUGCUAACAUCAGAUCAAGGCCUCAUAUUAA